Molecule: non-coding RNA, 82 nt
Organism: Felis catus (domestic cat)
Lineage: Eukaryota; Metazoa; Chordata; Mammalia; Carnivora; Felidae
Source: Rfam
GCCUGUGUGGCUCAGUCGUUUGAGUGACGGACUCUUGAUCAGGUCACGAUCCCGGUGGUGGGAUCGAGUCCCACAUCAGGCU